AUGUGUGUGGGCUGUGGCACACUGAAAUGCAGCAGGUGCCAUCUUAACGUAGGCCCCGCGCACAAGUGUUUAUUUUUUAACCCUUGCCGUGACAUUCCAUGUAUAAGACGACACCCAAUUUUUGACUAAAUUUAUUUUUAUCUUUGAAUCACUCUCUUACAUGGAUAAAUACAGUAAUUUGGGAGUUUGAAUUCGCGUGUUUUUGUAUUUAAUGGAUAGAAGUAGGUAUAGAAACC
Pelobates cultripes (western spadefoot toad) is the source of this 236-nucleotide non-coding RNA. Lineage: Eukaryota; Metazoa; Chordata; Amphibia; Anura; Pelobatidae. The record is from the annotation of a GenBank genome assembly.